Long non-coding RNA from Gasterosteus aculeatus aculeatus (three-spined stickleback), 2579 nucleotides. NCBI's taxonomy places the organism in Eukaryota, Metazoa, Chordata, Actinopteri, Perciformes, Gasterosteidae. The record is from Ensembl.
CCCACUCAUUCACAGUAAAAGCUGCAUUAUCACGACAGUUUUGCCGUAGCAUGAAAAUCCCGGCGUGUUUAAUGUUCAUGUGUGAGCAUCGAUGCCACAGAAGCUUUGCAUGUGAGCAGCGUGUAGCUUCUAAACCGCACGCGUUACUGCUUCAAACGGACAACUCACCCAACGGACGACCGCCGCCCCACAUCCAAUCUGGUUACGUAGGUCGGUUGAUUGACAGACAGUGGAAGACGGGAGCGCGGCGUCCUGCUCCAGGUCUCCUCUGCAUCACGUACGGCUCUUCUUCUUCGGGCCGAGAUCAAGCGUCUGUUUUUCCAUGUUUAAGAAACCUGCAUGUAAGCGCUUAUAUUUAAAGGGGUAAAAAGACUCUGGCAGUAAUCUGUUGUUCAGCAGUAAAGUUCACUUUACCCAGAACAGUUUUCAUCGUAACGCGGCUCGUUUCUAACGGAGACUCUGUGACUGUUCUCUUUUUAAUCACUUUACACAGCAGACGAUCGUGUGUGUGGAAGUUAGGUCUGUGUGUCCUGACACAGAGGAUUCCUUCACCGGCCUCCACAUUUUACACCAAAAUCAGACAAACAAACAAACAAACACCUGUUUAGAUCGGCCGUCUUUUUGGUUUCACUCUGCAUACAAACGGCGCAAAAUCCUAAAAAAGGUUGAUACCCUUUCGCCUCUGAGUCACAGAGCAGCAAACUGAGCUCAAGUGGCUCCUGUAGAUCAGAAGUAAUCCUCUGAGCGCUGGAACUGUGAGAUCUAAUUAGCGUUGUUGUGAGGCCGUUAGUGCCUCUCCGCCUCCGCUUCGUACCGGCUCACGCCAACGCCGCUGUGUUUGGCGAAGCCGUAAACAAAGAGCACGAGCGGGAUACACGAUGCAUCGCGUUGAAUUUAGUUUGGUAACGAGCGCUCAUAUCUAAUGAGACUUCACACGCAGUCACGAGGAGGCCGGAAGUGCCUCAAAGUCGCGUUCUCUCUUGUUUUUGACAGAACUCAGUUCAUCAACGUUCAGAAUCAGAAGCCGUUCUUUGCCACGUAUGUUACACAUACAGCAAUGUGAAAAGAAAACAAUAAAAUAAGAUACCAAUACACAAGCAAAAAUGAACAAUAUUAAACAGAUAAGAGAAGUACCACUGUGCAGAUGUCCUGUGUCCUGUGUCCUGUGUCCUGUGUCUGGGUCGGCGGGGACUCGGACUUCAUUUUUUUGUUUGUGCAGGCGUUAAUGAUACGAGAGCGCACAGAAGAGAGAGAAGAAGAAGAGAGGGAGGACGCCUCGUCCCAAAGACAGCACAUGUGUUUUGUGGACCAGGAAGUGACUUUUACAGUGUGUUUACGCUCUGUGGGGGAAAUGAACAUGCAUGUGGCAUCAAAGCACCUCCAGGACACCACUGAACAUCAGACAUCGUCGCUUCUCCCCACCUAUCAGACAACGUAUAUCUGUACAUGCUGCUUUUUAAUCUAAUUUAAAUGAAUAUAAUCUUCUUUUAUACUCUAACACAUUGUCCGCUUAGAACUUGAUGUAUAUGCACAACUAAUAUAAACUUAUAUCUUCAAGUCUUUGACCAGAAAUGGUAGAAGAGUAGAGAGUUUAAAACAGAGAACAUUCCAAGUUUUUUAACCAACAAAAAUGUAUACAACUGCUACUGAUGAAGGAAAAUAUGAGAAAAUAAAUAAUACAAAUAUUUUCAAAGACCAGAGACACAAGACAACAUUGUAUUUGAGGCGGGAGAACGUGGACACACACUUACGAUGGGUUUGGUGAACUGAUGGUUCAGCAGUAAAUAUUGUGAUCAAGCUGUCACAGUGUAUAAACAUCUGUACACAGACAGAGUGAGAGAGCAGAAAGAUUAGCAGACUUUGAGACAGACGGAGACGAGGGACGGAGACAAACGGCCAACGGCAGCCGGUGAGAGGAGGCGAAGGAGCAAAGACGUUGAAUGCAUGAGAUGUGAGUUCAGAGGCAGCGGCGAGGUGACGUCAUGAGAAGAGUCGGCUUCCGUCCUCUUGCACUCAAACGCCUGCUCACACACUUGACCCACAAACACGACUUGUUGUUAUUGGAGGUCCUACUAAAUAAGAUUAUUUGUUAUUUAUCAUUUCAUAUAUUUCACAAGGUUAGAAGUUAGAGGACCAGAGCUGUGGAAACGUAUCUACAAUCCAUCUGUUAAUCUGCUGUCGCUGUAAUUCCUCUAAUCAAGAGGAGCGAUGGAUUUAAGGAGAGUAAAGAAAAAGGAGAAGAGAUGGAAGGAGGCAGAUGUGUGGAGGAGAGAAAGGGUGAGGCAGAUGUGUGGAGGAGAGAAAGGGUGAGGCAGAUGUGUGCAGGAGAGAAAGGGGGAGGCAGAUGUGUGCAGGAGAGAAAGGGGGAGGCAGAAGUGAGCAGGAGAGAAAGGGGGAGGCAGAUGUGUGCAGGAGAGAAAGGGGGAGUCAGAUGUGUGCAGGAGAGAAAGGGGGAGUCAGAUGUGUGCAGGAGGGAAAGGGGGAGUCAGAUGUGUGCAGGAGAGAAAGGGGGAGUCAGAUGUGUGCAGGAGGGAAAGGGGGAGUCAGAUGUGUGCAGGAGAGAAAGGGGGAGGCAGAUG